This 1143-nucleotide unclassified non-coding RNA is filed under the name Aphidius gifuensis. Its description in RNAcentral is "cytochrome b". The record is from RNAcentral. Lineage: Eukaryota; Metazoa; Arthropoda; Insecta; Hymenoptera; Braconidae.
AUGACAAAUUUUAUCAUAAAAAAAAAUAUUUUAUUAGCAAUAUUAGAUAAAUCCUUAUUUAAAUUACCAACUCCAGUUAAUGUAUCUAUUUGAUGAAAUUUUGGAAGGUUAUUAGGUUUAUUUUUGAUAGUACAAUUAAUUUCAGGAUUAUUUUUAUCAAUACAUUAUGUUUCUAAUAUUAAUUAUUCAUUUUUUAGAAUUAUUCAUAUUAUUCAAGAUGUUAAUUAUGGGUGAUUAAUACGAUUAAUUCAUAUAAAUGGAGCUUCAUUUUUUUUUUUUUGUGUAUAUUUUCAUAUUGGUCGUGGAUUAUAUUAUGGUUCUUUUAAAUUAAUUUAUACUUGAUUUAUUGGUAUUAUAAUUUUUUUAUUAAUAAUAGGAACUGCUUUUAUAGGAUAUGUUUUACCUUGAGGACAAAUAUCCUUUUGAGGAGCUACUGUAAUUACUAAUUUAUUAUCUGCUAUUCCAUAUAUUGGUCAAAUAAUAGUUGAAUGAUUAUGAGGAGGAUUUUCAGUUGAUAAUUCAACUUUAAAUCGAUUUUAUACUUUUCAUUUUUUAAUACCUUUUAUUUUAAUUAUAUUAGUUUUAAUUCAUUUAAUAUUUUUACAUGAAACUGGGUCUAAUAAUCCAUUAGGAAUAAAUAGAAAUUUAUAUAAAAUCUCUUUUCAUAAUUAUUAUACUUUAAAAGAUUUAUUAGGUUUUAUAAUCUUAAUUAUUUUAUUAAUAAUUAUUAUUAUAGAAUUUCCUUAUAUUUUAGGGGAUCCAGAAAAUUUUGUUAUAGCAAAUUCUAUAAUUACUCCUGUUCAUAUUCAACCUGAAUGAUAUUUUUUAUUUGCUUAUACUAUUUUACGUUCAAUUCCUGAUAAGUUAAGAGGUGUAAUAGCUUUAUUAAUAUCUAUUUUAAUUUUAUAUUUAAUACCUAUUUUAAAUAUAAAAAAUAAAUUUCAAAGAUAUUUUUUUUACCCUUUAAAUCAAAUAUAUUUUUGAUUAUAUAUUUGUAUUUUUUUAAUAUUAACUUGAUUAGGAUCUCAACCAGUUGACUAUCCUUAUGUUGAAUUAAGACAAAUUUUAACUAUUAUAUAUUUUUUAUAUUAUUUUUUAAGAAGAUUAAUCAUUAAUAUAUGAGAUUUAAAUAUAAAAUUUUAG